ACGAACGCUGGCGGCGUGCUUAACACAUGCAAGUCGAACGGAAAGGCCCUGCUUUUGUGGGGUGCUCGAGUGGCGAACGGGUGAGUAACACGUGAGUAACCUGCCCUUGACUUUGGGAUAACUUCAGGAAACUGGGGCUAAUACCGGAUAGGAGCUCCUGCUGCCUGGUGGGGGUUGGAAAGUUUCGGCGGUUGGGGAUGGACUCGCGGCUUAUCAGCUUGUUGGUGGGGUAGUGGCUUACCAAGGCUUUGGCGGGUAGCCGGCCUGGGAGGGUGACCGGCCACAUUGGUACUGAGAUACGGCCCAGACUGCUACGGGAGGCAGCAGUGGGGAAUAUUGCGCAAUGGGCGGAAGCCUGAUGCAGCAACGCCGCGUGCGGGAUGACGGCCUUCGGGUUGUAAACCGCUUUCACCUGUGACGAAGCGUGAGUGACGGUAAUGGGUAAAGAAGCACCGGCUAACUACGUG
RNAcentral lists this ribosomal RNA (467 nucleotides) under uncultured bacterium. RNAcentral describes it as "partial 16S ribosomal RNA". It matches the Rfam family "Bacterial small subunit ribosomal RNA", at positions 29 to 507 of the family's 1533-position model. The record is from RNAcentral.